UGGGGAAUAUUGGACAAUGGGCGAAAGCCUGAUCCAGCCAUGCCGCGUGUGUGAAGAAGGUCUUCGGAUUGUAAAGCACUUUAAGUUGGGAGGAAGGGCAGUAAGCGAAUACCUUGCUGUUUUGACGUUACCGACAGAAUAAGCACCGGCUAACUCUGUGCCAGCAGCCGCGGUAAUACAGAGGGUGCAAGCGUUAUUCGGAAUUACUGGGCGUAAAGCGCGCGUAGGUGGUUCGUUAAGUUGAAUGUGAAAGCCCCGGGCUCAACCUGGGAACUGCAUCCAAAGCUGGCGAGCUAGAGUAGGGCAGAGGGUGGUGGAAUUUCCUGUGUAGCGGUGACAUGCGUGGAUAUAGGAAGGAACACCAGUGGCGAAGGCGACCACCUGGGCUCAUACUGACACUGAGGUGCGAAAGCGUGGGGAGCAAACAGG
RNAcentral lists this ribosomal RNA (429 nucleotides) under Pseudomonadota bacterium. Its description in RNAcentral is "Proteobacteria bacterium partial 16S ribosomal RNA". It matches the Rfam family "Bacterial small subunit ribosomal RNA", at positions 355 to 776 of the family's 1533-position model. Lineage: Bacteria; Pseudomonadati; Pseudomonadota. The record is from RNAcentral.